Mytilus trossulus (common blue mussel) is the source of this 668-nucleotide long non-coding RNA. RefSeq lists it as uncharacterized. Lineage: Eukaryota; Metazoa; Mollusca; Bivalvia; Mytilida; Mytilidae. The record is from RefSeq and is a predicted model, not a curated record. The transcript is spliced from 5 exons.
CAUGACUCUAGCUUUUGCAAUAGACUAUACUAGUUCUAUGGCAGACGAUAUUGAUGAGGUCAAAAAACAUGUGAUAGAGCAUUUAACAACCACUGUCGGGUCUGACAAUGAACCUGCUGAUUAUGUUCUAUCUUUGUUUCAUGAUCCAGUUAGCUUGAAUUCCGCCCAUAGAUACGUUGAUGGGUAUGUCAUGAUUACGAAAGUUCAAGCAAUUGAAGCGGGACAUGGAGAUAACGGAGACUGUCCGGAAUAUGCAGGUGCAGGAAUAUUAGCAGCAAUAGCACUGAUGAGAGAUAACUCACCUCUGUAUGUAUUCACGGAUGCAGACGCAUAGGAUGCUGAUCGCAUUCAAGACGUCAUUGAUGCAGCCAGAGCAAAGAAUAUAGCAGUGACGCCAUUAAUAACCAGUCAGUGUACUCGCAGAAAAAGAUCAGCAUUAGGUCGAACUGAACGAUCUGCAUCUGAAUUGUCCUUUUUCCAACAAAUAGCAGAAGCAACAGGCGGAAAUGUCCACGAAACAGACAAAGAAAACAUUGGAAAAGUCCUAGAAACUGUAAUAGGGGAAACAUUUCCUUCAACUGCAAUACUAAUAGACUCGUUUGACUGGUCUGUCACUGAAACUAAUGACAAGAAUAUAACCGUUGAUAGUACUAUCACAGUGCUCAAAA